CUAUGGAGCUUUAGACAAACGACUGAACCGUAUUCCCUGGCCCCUUCUCACGGGAACUAAAUUUAAUGGACCCUCUUUCAAUGUCUUCGGUUGGGGCGACCAUGGGGAAAACAAAACCCCCAAGUGGAAUAGGGGUAACGAAAACGUCGAUUACACCCCUUAAGGUAGAGCGACAGCUCAACACAACAGAAAUUCUGACCAAAAUGAUCCGGACAUUCCGAUCAACGGACCA
This 232-nucleotide ribosomal RNA is filed under the name Pseudorhombus pentophthalmus (fivespot flounder). Its description in RNAcentral is "partial 16S ribosomal RNA". The record is from RNAcentral. Lineage: Eukaryota; Metazoa; Chordata; Actinopteri; Pleuronectiformes; Paralichthyidae.